RNAcentral lists this non-coding RNA (30 nucleotides) under Rattus norvegicus (Norway rat). The record is from RNAcentral. Lineage: Eukaryota; Metazoa; Chordata; Mammalia; Rodentia; Muridae.
UCCAGAGAAAUAAGAGUGAUAAAGGAGCUG